RNAcentral lists this ribosomal RNA (780 nucleotides) under uncultured bacterium. RNAcentral's name for it is "bacterial SSU rRNA". It matches the Rfam family "Bacterial small subunit ribosomal RNA", at positions 40 to 834 of the family's 1533-position model. The record is from RNAcentral.
CGGCGGCUGCUUACCUGCAAGUCGAACGAUGAUCCCAGCUUGCUGGGGGAUUAGUGGCGAACGGGUGAGUAACACGUGAGUAACCUGCCCUUAACUCUGGGAUAAGCCUGGGAAACUGGGUCUAAUACCGGAUAUGACUCCUCAUCGCAUGGUGGGGGGUGGAAAGCUUUAUUGUGGUUCUGGAUGGACUCGCGGCCUAUCAGCUUGUUGGUGAGGUAAUGGCUCACCAAGGCGACGACGGGUAGCCGGCCUGAGAGGGUGACCGGCCACACUGGGACUGAGACACGGCCCAGACUCCUACGGGAGGCAGCAGUGGGGAAUAUUGCACAAUGGGCGAAAGCCUGAUGCAGCGACGCCGCGUGAGGGAUGACGGCCUUCGGGUUGUAAACCUCUUUCAGUAGGGAAGAAGCGAAAGUGACGGUACCUGCAGAAGAAGCGCCGGCUAACUACGUGCCAGCAGCCGCGGUAAUACGUAGGGCGCAAGCGUUAUCCGGAAUUAUUGGGCGUAAAGAGCUCGUAGGCGGUUUGUCGCGUCUGCCGUGAAAGUCCGGGGCUCAACUCCGGAUCUGCGGUGGGUACGGGCAGACUAGAGUGAUGUAGGGGAGACUGGAAUUCCUGGUGUAGCGGUGAAAUGCGCAGAUAUCAGGAGGAACACCGAUGGCGAAGGCAGGUCUCUGGGCAUUAACUGACGCUGAGGAGCGAAAGCAUGGGGAGCGAACAGGAUUAGAUACCCUGGUAGUCCAUGCCGUAAACGUUGGGCACUAGGUGUGGGGGACAUUC